This 520-nucleotide ribosomal RNA is filed under the name uncultured Glomus. RNAcentral's name for it is "SSU rRNA". It matches the Rfam family "Eukaryotic small subunit ribosomal RNA", at positions 569 to 1090 of the family's 1831-position model. The record is from RNAcentral. Lineage: Eukaryota; Fungi; Glomeromycota; Glomeromycetes; Glomerales; Glomeraceae.
AGCAGCCGCGGUAAUUCCAGCUCCAAUAGCGUAUAUUAAAGUUGUUGCAGUUAAAAAGCUCGUAGUUGAAUUUCGGGAUCAGUACGUCGGUCGUGCCUUCGGUACGUACUGGCGCCGCUGAUUUCUCCCUUCUGACGAACCGUGAUGUCAUUAAUUUGGUGUUGCGGGGAAUCAGGACUGUUACUUUGAAAAAAUUAGAGUGUUUAAAGCGGGCACGCGCUUGAAUACAUUAGCAUGGAAUAACGAAAUAGGACGUUCGAUCUUAUUUUGUUGGUUUCUAGGAUUGACGUAAUGAUUAAUAGGGAUAGUUGGGGGCAUUAGUAUUCAAUUGUCAGAGGUGAAAUUCUUGGAUUUAUUGAAGACUAACUACUGCGAAAGCAUUUGCCAAGGAUGUUUUCAUUAAUCAAGAACGAAAGUUAGGGGAUCGAAGACGAUCAGAUACCGUCGUAGUCUUAACCAUAAACUAUGCCGACUAGGGAUCGGAUGAUGUUAAUUUUAUAAUGACUCAUUCGGCGCCUUA